This 406-nucleotide ribosomal RNA is filed under the name uncultured bacterium. RNAcentral describes it as "bacterial SSU rRNA". It matches the Rfam family "Bacterial small subunit ribosomal RNA", at positions 354 to 777 of the family's 1533-position model. The record is from RNAcentral.
GUAGGGAAUUUUGCGCAAUGGGGGAAACCCUGACGCAGCAACACCGCGUGAAUGUUAAGCCCUUCGGGGUGUAAAGUUCUGUCAAUAGGGACGAAUUUUGACUGUACCUAUAAAGGAAGCACCGGCUAACUCCGUGCCAGCAGCCGCGGUAAUACGGGGGGUGCAAGCGUUGUCCGGAAUCAUUGGGCGUAAAGCGUUCGUAGGCGGUAUGUCAAGUCUGAUGUUAAAGCCCGGGGCUCAACUCCGGUUCGGCAUUGGAUACUGGCAAACUAGAAUGUGGUAGAGGUAAAGGGAAUUCCUGGUGUAGCGGUGAAAUGCGUAGAUAUCAGGAGGAACAUCGGUGGCGAAAGCGCUUUACUGGACCAUUAUUGACGCUGAGGAACGAAAGCCAGGGGAGCAAAUGGGA